This 374-nucleotide ribosomal RNA is filed under the name uncultured organism. RNAcentral's name for it is "partial 16S ribosomal RNA". It matches the Rfam family "Bacterial small subunit ribosomal RNA", at positions 527 to 896 of the family's 1533-position model. The record is from RNAcentral.
GUAGGUGGCAAGCGUUGUCCGGAAUUAUUGGGCGUAAAGCGCGCGCAGGCGGUUCUUUAAGUCUGAUGUGAAAGCCCACGGCUCAACCGUGGAGGGUCAUUGGAAACUGGAGGACUUGAGUACAGAAGAGGAAAGCGGAAUUCCACGUGUAGCGGUGAAAUGCGUAGAGAUGUGGAGGAACACCGGUGGCGAAGGCGGCUUUCUGGUCUGUAACUGACGCUGAGGCGCGAAAGCGUGGGGAGCAAACAGGAUUAGAUACCCUGGUAGUCCACGCCGUAAACGAUGAGUGCUAAGUGUUAGGGGGUUUCCCGCCCCCUUAGUGCUGCAGCUAACGCAUUAAGCACUCCGCCUGGGGGAGUACGGCCGCAAGGCUG